GUGCUUGCUUUGUCAGCACAUAUACUAAAAUUGGAAUGAUACAGAGAAGAUUAGCAAGGUCCCUGUGCAAGGAGAACAUGCAAAUUCAUGAAGUGUUCCAUAUUUAU
This is a small nuclear RNA of Piliocolobus tephrosceles (Ugandan red Colobus), 107 nucleotides long. The record is from Ensembl. NCBI's taxonomy places the organism in Eukaryota, Metazoa, Chordata, Mammalia, Primates, Cercopithecidae.